AUGACUUUACUUAGGGUGUAUGGGUUUGUGUUCAGCUGGGUCCCUCCAUGCAGCAAGAACCAGGAUGGAAACAUCCAGGCCAGAUCCACUAACCACAGUGUUGCUUCAGUGGGAAACUUCUUGAGUAAUAGCUGCGUUUCAGGACCACCAAUUAAGCAGUUCUUGAUACCUGGAUAAUUAAUUCCCCGUACCUCAUCCAGCAACUUACAGAGAUAGCUGCAAUGGGUCUUGACUUUUAUCAGCUUGGGGUGGAACAAGAAACAUUCUUCCACUUUCCCUUCAUGCACUGUCAUGACUUAAAUUAUUAUAUACCUUUUUAAACAACUACUGAGACUGCUACCUGUGUGGAAGAAAUUAAUCCCAUCCUUGACCUCGCUUAGGUUUGGAGCAGAGAUUUGGAAGUAUGAGAUGCAGGGCUGCCUCUUCACCCUCAAUUUACUUUUACAGGCUUCUGAAAUAAUUAUUGCAAGCACGUUUAUAUGUAGCAUUCCUUUCUAUUAAAUAAGUGUCUGUCCUCAUGGCUAUUUCUAUUCCAUUACAGUAUCUGUAAGAAUAAUUUUUGGUAUUCUUCUGGUAUAUUUUGGCCCUGAUUAUUGUUAAUGAAGUGAAUAGCUGCCUUCACCAGAAGCUUUCCAUGUGCUGAGAAAAGUCCAAAUCAAGAUUCCUAGCAAUAAAAACC
RNAcentral lists this long non-coding RNA (679 nucleotides) under Phasianus colchicus (ring-necked pheasant). RNAcentral describes it as "lncRNA (ENSPCLG00000005755.1)". Lineage: Eukaryota; Metazoa; Chordata; Aves; Galliformes; Phasianidae. The record is from RNAcentral.